Long non-coding RNA from Quercus lobata, 2246 nucleotides. RefSeq lists it as uncharacterized. The record is from RefSeq and is a predicted model, not a curated record. NCBI's taxonomy places the organism in Eukaryota, Viridiplantae, Streptophyta, Magnoliopsida, Fagales, Fagaceae. The transcript is spliced from 6 exons.
AGCUGCUUCGGGAAAGAUAGAAUUCCAUUCAGCAUUCAUAAACACCCUGUCUAUUCUCUCCUGAACCAACUGAGAAAGAGGACGGCCGUUAGACUAGGUAUAGUGAGGCCUAGAGAAACCGAUGCCAAUCAUUCUACAAGUGUUUAAGUAGUCUUGGAACUGAAGGGCUCUGUGGAUAUUGACAGAAUUACCUCUAAACUUAUCCUUCCCCAUGAGCACUUCAUUAAAGUCACCUACUAUAACCCAUGGCAUUGAGUGAAGGCUUGCCACAGAUUCCAGAUUCUCCCACAGCAGCCAUUUUUCGGCAAAGCGAGGACUGACAUAAAUUGCUGAGACGAGACAGGGGGUCUUGAAGAGGAAUUAACAAUCACGUGGAUUUCUUGCUCAGUGGAUGCUACUUCCAAAAUUUCAACUUGGUCAGAAUCCCAGAGAAUCCACAACCCUCCAGAGAGGCCAAUGGAAUUCGCAAAAAUAGCCCUAUCCAAAUUUAUUCUUCCUGAGAUCCUAUUAGCUCUUUCACCACAAAAUUUAGUCUCACCAACAACCAUGAUAGCAGGGGAGUGCAUUUGAAUCAGAUCAUUAACAACAUCACAAAAGGUGGGGUUUAGGGCCCCUCGACAAUUCCAUAUUAGCAUAUUCAUUGAUAAUAAAACAAUCAUACAAUCAACAGAAAAUUAGCAAGAGGGGGAAGAAACAGCACCUCCUUGCUCAAUUUGCAUGGAUGCCUCUGUUGCUUCAUUCUCCUCAGAGCUGAUUAGCCCAUUACUCUCCUUCAGCUGACUCUGAACCUCCAAAUCAUAAUCCCCUCCCUCUUCAUCUGCCUUACCCGAUUUUUUUGGUCGGAGAGACGGAUCGAUUCUUUUCAGAAACCUCGUAGAAAUCUGUAAGACUUCUGUCUUCAUGCUAGAUGUGGUUUUCCCUUCAGUGGAUGUACUGCACUUGGAGAUUUCAAAGGGUGGCCGCCGCUCAUGUUCAAACAGUUACUGGGAUUGCGUCACAAAUACCUGAUUACCUGAGCUAGAGCAACCCAUCUCCACAUCCCCGUUAACUCUCCUCACAUCCUGCAUAUCAAGCAAAGCCGUGGUUGCUAGAUCUGCCGACGAUUGUUUCUCCGAACAAGAGAGUGCUUUGUUUGCUUCUCAUUUGCUAAUUGGAUGUUUCUUCAAGUUUUUAUUUUUAUUUUUUGUUUGUUAAAAAAAUAUCAUUUUCUGUGUUAUUGUUUGUGUUCUUUUGCUUCUAUUUUUAUUAUUUAUUUCUUUCCAUUUGAUCAAAGCUUGAGCUAUGAAUUCUGAUGGAAGACUGCGAGGCUGCUACUAACAUUUUGAUUUUAUUGUUUAUGUGUUUAUUUUUCUUUUGUUUUAUCUUCUAUUUCCAGUAUUGGGUUAGCCAGGGCAACAAAUGGUGUGACUUCUACAAAAUCUUCAUAUCAAAUAAUCCUUCCAGCAUCAGAAUUCAUGAGCUUGGUAAGCAGACUGCGCCCAUGAGCAAAUUGAAGCAGUGAGUUUUAAGAACAACAUUUGCUUAUAUUAAUAUGAAAGCAAAGCGUAGCAAUCAGAAGGAUAUAGCAAAACUUCAAGAGGUCAGAGAUAUGCCCAAGCAUUGAAUGAUCAAGAUGAAGGAAGAGGCAUAUGCCACACCUCAGUUUUCCUCAAACUCUAAACAUCAAGUGCCCACUUUGAAAAAGUUGUUGUCAGCUUCAGAGGCAGCACCAGUUACAGAAAAUAAAGUUCAAAGUGGACCAGCACCUGGACUGUUGUUUCAGCUUCUUUAAAUCCCAUGAGAUCCAUUAAAGAUUGACUUGAAGAAUUUGGAUCCUUUUCCGUUUCUGAUGUUGGACGAAUUUGGAUCCUUUUUCGUUUUUGAUGUUGGACAAUUUUCAGGACUGACUUGAAAAAUUUGGAUCAUUUUCCGUUUCUGAUGUUGGACGAUUUUUCAGGCUGUUUCUGCACAAGCAUUGCAGGGGAACCACUAUGGACUGUGGUUCAAUGCUCACCCAUUCAACACUAAAAAUGGUUUGCUUUGUUCUCUCCAAUCAUAUUUAUGAUUCAUGUAUAAAUUCAGAUAUCUUUUAAAGUUUUAUCUAGGAGAAUUGUAUCAAUGAUGAGUUCAAAGCUAAGUGUGUAAAUUACAUGAUAUGUCGUGUGUGUAGUUAGUGAGAAUAUUAUUUCCUUAGGAAUUUUUAGAUAUUGAUGUGAAAGCCAUCUUAGUAGUUGUGUCUCUAUUUAAUGCUGCUUUUAUUUGCUUAU